AGAACGAACGCUGGCGGCGUGCCUAACACAUGCAAGUCCAACGUGAAGGGGAGCAAUCCCCCGGUAGGUGGCAAACGGGUGAGUAAUACAUGGGUGAUCUACCUUAGGGAUGGGGAUAUCCUUCCGAAAGAGGGGCAAUACCGAAUAUUGUCCGGAGCCGUGAAGGGUUCCGGGGAAAGGGAGGCCUCUGAUACAAGCUUUCGCCUUAAGAUGAGCCCAUGGCCCAUCAGCUAGUUGUAGGGUAAAGGCCUACCAAGGCUACGACGGGUCGCUGGUCUGAGAGGACGACCAGCCACACUGGCACUGAGAUACGGGCCAGACUCCUACGGGAGGCAGCAGUGAGGAAUAUUGCGCAAUGGGGGAAACCCUGACGCAGCAACGCCGCGUGUGGGAAGAA
This 397-nucleotide ribosomal RNA is filed under the name uncultured bacterium. RNAcentral's name for it is "bacterial SSU rRNA". It matches the Rfam family "Bacterial small subunit ribosomal RNA", at positions 26 to 412 of the family's 1533-position model. The record is from RNAcentral.